RNAcentral lists this small RNA (2687 nucleotides) under Rattus norvegicus (Norway rat). Its description in RNAcentral is "uncharacterized LOC102555358". The record is from RNAcentral. Lineage: Eukaryota; Metazoa; Chordata; Mammalia; Rodentia; Muridae.
GCCUGCCACUGAGGAGGAGAGAGUAACAGAUUAGCUGCUUGAGGGCCUGUCUCCCAUUCCCACACUCUCACUUCUGCUCCAGCAGCUCACUGGCAUAGAGCUUAAACCAGGGCUUCUCCACUUGUAGUACAAUGGAUGUCUUUGCAGUUUUGUAUUGUGCUUUUGAUGCAGAGGAAACCUGUACCAUUUAAACUGAUCAGACAUCAUUGUAAGGAGGGGGCUCUGGGCAGGCAUAGUGGAGGAGGAGACCCUUAUAUUUGAUUUUCUAAAACAUAGAAAUCAGAAGGUGAGAGGAAAAACAAAGAGCUAGUGUGGGUGUUGUUCCAAGGUGCCAGAAUAUUCCUUCUAGAGCAGCACAGUUGAUUUCCCCACUAAUAGGUGCUAAGAGGGCAUAGGUCUUCCUUUGCUUUGUUUCUACCACACCACCUUAGACGCCAUUUUCUAUACAUGUUAGAGAUCAACAAUUUGACAUAGAAGGAGAGGACACGGGAUGUGGGAGUAAGAAAAAAAAACAGCUUGCAAUAUACUAACUGUAUUUUAACUCCUUUUAUUAUUUUUUUUUAAAGGAAGAAAGACACCAGUGUACUUACAGCAGUACUGAGUUGGAUGCUGGAGUGUGGGGCUAGAGAGGUCACAGAAGUGAUAGAAAUCUGCUGGUGGAGACAGGAGUGACUUGAAGAACUCAGACCAAAUGCAGGACGUCCACUACCAUCUCCAGCUAACCACAGAUGGAUCUAAUGUCACAUCCUGCAGAGAGUCACCCAUGGCUUCUCCAGGUGGAGAUCAGUGCAUCAACUCAAAAGGACUUUAUGCUGGAUGAAUGCAGCAUCUCACUCUUCGAGAACUUAACACGUAACCAAGAGGAUAUAUUCAUGUACCUAUCUGCCCUCCAAAGGACCCCUGGAAGGCAGGGGUGAAGUUCACAUCUUUAUAUGCCUUUUCACCAUUGCCAAGCUCUACAGUGGAAGGCAACCUUUUGUGUUUCAAUAAUAAAAUGAAAAAACAAAGCCAGAUGUCCUCCUAGAUUCCAGCAUUGCCCACCUUGUGAGAAGAAAAACAAUAUUUAUCUUAUUAAUUCGUCUGAAGAUCUGGCUUCAAGAGUCCUUAGGUUACCCAGUUGCUAUGGAAAUGCCAGAUGUGACACCGACUGCCACCUCAGCACAGUGAGAAACACCCAGUCACAGACAGCCUCACACAGCUAAUCUAUGUGCAUCUUCAUGGAAAACGUCCUAGUUUAUCUGUUCAUUGUCUCAAAACAAUCGGAACAUUAAAAGGGACAAGAAAGGUGGGCAGACGAACCCAAGCCCCCUGAACUGUGACAUUUAUUAUCCUGGUAAUUAUUUUAUUCCUACCCUGCUUCUCUCCCUAUAAUUUAACUGGUAUAAGAUAAAUGUACCUAUUCCCUCUAACUGCUUCUAAAUUUACUCGACUGCUACUAGAGAGAAGGACUUAACCUCACAAUAAUUGAAUUUAAAUAACAUCCAAUUCUGUGAAGUUGAACAUGAUCUGCAUAGUAAACAAACCACAGGGUUUGAGGGCUGGCAGGAAGAAAGAAGGUCACACUUAAUGUGCGUGAUUGUAUCCGUACUUCUAAUGGCCCAGAUGUGUAAUCUAAUGUCUGUUUGUCUUUCUGUCUAACUCAUCAUUAACAUCGUUAUGGUUACCAAAGAGCCAAAAUUAAAGGCUCAACUGGCCUCGUUCCUCUGCCUGGCUCAAGAGAAAAACAUAAUUCAGCUAAGCCUUGAGGAACUAGAAUUGGGCUAUUUGCAUACAGUGGGCUGGGCCCAUGUCCAAGGUUCCAGGCUACUACACUUCUCAGGAAGUUUCAGGGAUGCCAGGUCACCAUGUUCUCUUUUUUUGUUCCAGAAACCAAGCCAAAUUAUAUGAGAGGUUAGAGAGAAAGGUGCAGACUUGUCCCCUUGAGUCAGUCCUCCAUGGUCCUCGCACACCAGCAGAGGAGAGUGCAGCCUCAACCCCGCAAACCCUUCAUGGUGCUCCCUGGAGAAACUGUGGUGAAAUUUUCCUAAAAUUAAUUUUCAUUCACUGUGAUUAAUGCAUCAUUCAGAGGGCUUAGGGGAUACGGCGGAGGCUGCAGGUGCAAACAAACUGGAGUCAUGUGUUGCUUUCUGACGCUUCAGAUCAGGGCACUAGGUACUUUAGGAUCGCACAAAGCACAGAAGCAAGACCUUUCCCCGAUGCAAUCCCAGCUUGCCCACUGUCUGGCUGGUGACUAUGAGUUUAAGUGAUCGCUACCUGAAUCCACCGUUUCUGAGAGACGAGGCUGCAUCAGAAUCACUUGGGAAGCGUGUUUGGUGUCUUUGUGCUGGCUGCAACCCAAAGACUCCAACUCCAUGAAGACCCACUUAAAGCAAAAUUGGCUCAGACCUACUUUGUAACGUGUUGGACCAGAUACUCAUUAACAAACCUUCUGCCUCCUACAUUACUUUGAGACUUUUAUGUACACAAAGAUAAAAAUAAGCACUGAGAAUUAAAAUUUAUUGAGGACUCAUUGUGUGCCAAUCCCUGUCACAAACUUUGAAUUCUGGGUUCAAGAACCAAUUCUCCCACUUGGCUGGGUGAGAGAUACUGGGCAAGUUGCUCUAAGCUCCCACCUCAUCGUCUAUAUCCAUAUUGUCCUACUAGUGUUUCUGCUGUGGUUGCACCCCCUCCUCUGUGCUGUGUGUAUG